CCUACGGGUGGCAGCAGUGGGGAAUAUUGGACAAUGGGCGAAAGCCUGAUCCAGCCAUGCCGCGUGUGUGAAGAAGGCCUUCGGGUUGUAAAGCACUUUCAGUGGGGAAGAAAGCCUUGGGGCUAAUACCCUCGAGGAAGGACAUCACCCACAGAAGAAGCACCGGCUAACUCCGUGCCAGCAGCCGCGGUAAUACGGAGGGUGCGAGCGUUAAUCGGAAUUACUGGGCGUAAAGCGCGCGUAGGCGGUCUGAUAAGCCGGUUGUGAAAGCCCCGGGCUCAACCUGGGAACGGCAUCCGGAACUGUCAGGCUAGAGUGCAGGAGAGGAAGGUAGAAUUCCCGGUGUAGCGGUGAAAUGCGUAGAGAUCGGGAGGAAUACCAGUGGCGAAGGCGGCCUUCUGGACUGACACUGACGCUGAGGUGCGAAAGCGUGGGUAGCAAACAGGAUUAGAUACCCUUGUAGC
Molecule: ribosomal RNA, 464 nt
Filed under: Vreelandella stevensii
Lineage: Bacteria; Pseudomonadati; Pseudomonadota; Gammaproteobacteria; Oceanospirillales; Halomonadaceae
Description: partial 16S ribosomal RNA
Rfam family: Bacterial small subunit ribosomal RNA
Source: RNAcentral